AGGCCUUCGGGUUGUAAACCUCUUUUCUUGGGGAAGAAUUUUGACGGUACCCAAGGAAUAAGCCUCGGCCAACUACGUGCCAGCAGCCGCGGUAAUACGUAGGAGGCGAACGUUAUUCGGAUUUACUGGGCGUAAAGGGAGCGUAGGCGGUUCCUUAAGUCAGAUGUGAAAUCUUCUGACUCAAUCGGAAGGGGUCAUUUGAUACUGAGGGACUUGAGAGCAGCAGAGGGAAAUGGAAUCCCCGGUGUAGCGGUGAAAUGCGUAGAUAUUGGGGAGAACACCAGUGGCGAAGGCGAUUUCCCAGGUUGUUUCUGACGCUGAGGCUCGAAAGCGUGGGGAGCGAAGCGGAUUAGAUACCCGCGUAGUCCACGCCCUAAACGGUGGACACUAGAUAUGGGAGGUAUCGACCCUUUCUGUGUCGAAGCUAACGCUUUAAG
RNAcentral lists this ribosomal RNA (437 nucleotides) under uncultured bacterium. RNAcentral's name for it is "bacterial SSU rRNA". It matches the Rfam family "Bacterial small subunit ribosomal RNA", at positions 412 to 864 of the family's 1533-position model. The record is from RNAcentral.